CCAAGGGCUCUUCUCAGAGCCACCUAUACUUUCGGACAAAAAGUUU
Molecule: non-coding RNA, 46 nt
Organism: Sarcophilus harrisii (Tasmanian devil)
Lineage: Eukaryota; Metazoa; Chordata; Mammalia; Dasyuromorphia; Dasyuridae
Source: Rfam